UACAGCAUCUGAUGCCAAGGUUUUGG
Molecule: non-coding RNA, 26 nt
Filed under: Homo sapiens (human)
Lineage: Eukaryota; Metazoa; Chordata; Mammalia; Primates; Hominidae
Source: RNAcentral